AUGAGAUCACUUGAAAAUUGUAAUUUACCUGGUGGCCACGUCAAUGACAUAUUUUUGUUUAAUGAAAUCAUUGGACACUUGGGUCUCGUUGAGCUACCAAUCAAAGGCCAUCAAUUCACUUGGUCCAAUAUGCAAACUUCACAGCUUUUGGAGCAGAUCGACUGGUUUUCACUUCAGAUCGACUGGUUUUUCAUCGCUUUUGGAGCGAAUGGACCAAUCUAA
RNAcentral lists this ribosomal RNA (222 nucleotides) under Triticum aestivum (bread wheat). RNAcentral describes it as "partial small subunit ribosomal RNA". The record is from RNAcentral. Lineage: Eukaryota; Viridiplantae; Streptophyta; Magnoliopsida; Poales; Poaceae.